AUGUCAAAUGUAAUAAACCCAACGCAGGAUGAUCGCAAACUCCUGAGCUCGAGCAGUCCUUCCACUUCAGCCUCACAAAAUUCUGGGAUUAUAGGCGUGAGCAACUGUACCAGGAUGGUGAGUAAAAAAUCUGAGAAGACUGAUAAUAGAAAGAAGAAACCUGAAGCAGAGAAGGCUAAAGCCAUUGGUAAGGUUAAAAAUGUUAACCUGAAGGCUGAACAGCCCAAGAAGAGGAAGCCUCACUGCAGAUAA
This 252-nucleotide long non-coding RNA is filed under the name Callithrix jacchus (white-tufted-ear marmoset). Its description in RNAcentral is "lncRNA (ENSCJAG00000086709.1)". The record is from RNAcentral. Lineage: Eukaryota; Metazoa; Chordata; Mammalia; Primates; Cebidae.